UUUAUUUAGAAAAGGUUUAUCAACUUACGAGGUUCAGAAAAAUUGAAGAAGACUACCAGUUUUACCAAAGUAAAUACUAAUUUCAACGGUUGAGCUGUUUUGAACGAAUGAAACAGCUCAUAUUCGAAGUUCCUAUAGUCAUGCUUUCUAUGAGUUAACUAAUUUUAACAGGAGUCUUACAAAUAUGGUAUCUAUAUGCGACUUUGUUGUUAAGCCUAGAGUUUGCCAAAUGGCAUCACUAUGUGCAGAAAUGUAAACCCCUAUAAGCAUGGUAUCUAUAUGCAUAGUUGCAAAAUUCAGAAAUUAAAUCCUUUAGGCAUGGUUUCUACCCUUUGUGCAUAAACGUAACCCCUUCCCUUUUUCAUAUAUCCCCGUGAAUUUGUACAGAUUAUUACGGACCGGUAAAACAAACUAAAAAAAGGUACAUAAAAAAUUCCAACUACAUUCGAGCAACCUAAUUCAGACAUAGUGUCUAACAGUAAGAGAUUGAACCACUUUCGAGAUCAAGACUUCUAAAUGUUUCUCUUAUCAAGGGUGUUUCAGAGAUCCAAAGAGUAUCAGGAACUCAAGGCAGUGCUUACACCCAAGAUAUUAAUCACAAUGAGUUAUAGUGCAGUGUGAAAGAGCCAGCAAAUAAGAGAGGGGUAGGGGUGCCAAAGCAGGAUGGUGGUCAUGCCUAGUCACAAGGUAGGCUGGAACACCCCUGACCAAGCCUGCUCAGCCAGCAAAUAAAAGCACAGACCUAUUGAAGGGCAGACUAUGGUCUAAAUAAAGAUUAGGACACUGCCAGACCAAGGUCUCAAGCUCAGAAUACAUAUAAAGGGGAAGGGAAAUGGGAAUUAAAAGAGACUAGGACACAUGGAAUCCAGUCCAUAUACAUGAAUAACAAUGUCAAGUGCUGUCAUAUUUUCUGAACCAUAACUUAACAUACAAAAGGACUAUGGAUAGGGAUUCAUGUAAGCACAGAGAUAAGGAAGUAAGUAAACUUGCAAAAAAAUUACAGCAUAGAAACAGUAAGGCAAACAAAGGAAAGGCUGAAGAAUAAACAUGUAGUGGAGAGUCAGAAAUUAAACAAAGAGAGACAUACCAGUUGUAUACAACGUAAGCAAAGAAAAAGCAGGAUUAUUUCAGCCAAACCACAAUCAGAGAAGAGAAUUUUAAGCUUAUGAGUUCAGAGAACUAGAAUACCUUUAAGAAAAUCUAAGUGUAUUUGAAAGAAGAAGUAAUGACUUGCUCUGUGUGUUAGAACUUGUCCUUGAAAGAGAAGAGGUACAUGUAUUUAUAGUUUUGAAAACGAGUAGAUAAUAGGGUAACAAGUAAUGUUUUAACACAAACAUGGAAAUAAUCACAGUCAAAAUCAAUUAGCACAAGUAUUUCCCUUUAAUCAAUGGAUUACUGCUCAAAUGGAUACUAACAUGAUUAAUUAAGGAAAGAAAUCAAUUUGAGAAAGAUUGAUUUCUCACCAUAGUAGGGAUAGUAAAAGUAUAGAGUAAAUAUUUAAGUCUAAGUACUAAGUAUGCUUAAUUUUGGGAGAGGAUUCAGCAAAGAAAAAUAAGAAAAGGAAUCAAUUAACCCUUAACAGGCGAGUAAAAUAAGAAUCUCACAAGGAAAAGUUUUGAAUAUUAAUCACAGAAGGGACUUAGUAUAUAAAUGAAGUGCACAAGUAAUAGACAUGUGAGUCCAAGCUACAGCAAGUGGAAACAGCAUACAGUAAUAGCAUAAAAUUAAUAGACAGCAAGCAUUCAUAGCAUGAUAGUCACGUAGGUAAAGUUUCAGUGACAUAGUGAUAGAGAGAAAGAUCAGAAGCAUGCAAAAGUCAAGUGAAAACCUUUCUGAAAACAUAGUCGAGUUUGACAGAUAGCAAGAACUCUGAAUAACAUGAAUCACACAUAAAGAAAAGAGAAGCUGAUGUUAAAGGAAGCAUAUUGAAUGAUUUCAAACAGACGAGUUUGACAAACAACCUCAGUAACACGAAUGGAUCCCAAAGAACUAGGGUUUUCGAAAUCAGUCGAGUUUAGAGGCGAUAAAUAAGUGAAACAAACAAACAGUUUCAGAAUCUCCAAUAAACCCCAAAAUUAGGGGUUUCAACAUUAAUCGGUAAACCAAAUGAAUACUAAUAGAUAGACUAAAAAACUUAAACAAAUCCCAAGAAUUAGGGUUUUCAACACCAAUUAAACAUAGAGAUGAUAAGCAGCUGAAUAGAACAAAGCAUUAACAAACAGACUCAGAAACCCUAAUUUGAAAUCAAAGUAUUUUGAAAAAAAAAUUUGGGGAAAACAGUUGAGAUAUCAAAUAUAGCAUAGAUCUAGCACAUAUCUAAAUAAAUAAAUGAAAAAAAAAACCUCGAAUAGGCUAGGGAUUCUGAGAACCCUAGAAACGAGAAAGGCAUGGAAGAAACAAGAUCAGAUCUGGAGUCGAUGAGGUUGAAAUCAGGCUCAGGAGGCUAAGAUACGCUAGAGCAAGGCCAUAGAUGGCUGAAAACCUCGAAUCGACAAAGAUCUGAGUGAAGGACCUCGAAGUAUGGCCUCGAACCUUCAGCUAUCAAGCACGUGAGAGCAGUAGGGAGUGAUUAUAGGUCAUCCAUGGCUUGAGCAGCCAUAGAUUCCAGUGGGUUUGAGGUUAAAAGCGGUAGAAAGCAAUUAGGAUUUCGAGAGAGUUUCAGAGCGUUUGAGAGAAGAGAG
Molecule: long non-coding RNA, 2681 nt
Filed under: Nicotiana benthamiana
Lineage: Eukaryota; Viridiplantae; Streptophyta; Magnoliopsida; Solanales; Solanaceae
Description: long non-coding RNA (NBEN_LNC009416)
Source: RNAcentral